GGGUGCUUGAGGCUUAUCUGGCUUGAGCAGCGUUGUGAAAGACAUAAUAGUUGUUCAAGGCAUAAUAAGAAGAAAGCCCCGAGGAGAUUUUUCAAUCAACCCGAGGCUAUCACAACCAUACCUAGACAAUAUGAGGAUAGCCUCUUAAAAGCAGGAAUGCAACGGAGGGCAAGAUG
RNAcentral lists this antisense RNA (176 nucleotides) under Rahnella inusitata. Its description in RNAcentral is "sok antitoxin". It matches the Rfam family "sok antitoxin (CssrC)". From Rfam's summary of the family: Also identified in Shigella as CssrC. The record is from RNAcentral. Lineage: Bacteria; Pseudomonadati; Pseudomonadota; Gammaproteobacteria; Enterobacterales; Yersiniaceae.